Molecule: ribosomal RNA, 301 nt
Filed under: uncultured bacterium
Lineage: Bacteria
Description: partial 16S ribosomal RNA
Rfam family: Bacterial small subunit ribosomal RNA
Source: RNAcentral
CAGUCGCCACGGUAAUACGUAGGUGGCAAGCGUUGUCCGGAAUUAUUGGGCGUAAAGGGCUCGCAGGCGGUUUCUUAAGUCUGAUGUGAAAGCCCCCGGCUCAACCGGGGAGGGUCAUUGGAAACUGGGAAACUUGAGUGCAGAAGAGGAGAGUGGAAUUCCACGUGUAGCGGUGAAAUGCGUAGAGAUGUGGAGGAACACCAGUAGCGAAGGCGACUCUCUGGUCUGUAACUGACGCUGAGGAGCGAAAGCGUGGGGAGCGAACAGGAUUAGAUACCCGCGUAGUCCCUGUCUCUUAUAC